This 505-nucleotide ribosomal RNA is filed under the name Libellula angelina. RNAcentral's name for it is "partial 16S ribosomal RNA". It matches the Rfam family "Bacterial large subunit ribosomal RNA", at positions 1819 to 2597 of the family's 2925-position model. The record is from RNAcentral. Lineage: Eukaryota; Metazoa; Arthropoda; Insecta; Odonata; Libellulidae.
GUCCUUUUGAAUUUAAUUGAAGGUCUGACCUGCCCAGUGAGGAGUUCAACGGCCGCGGUAUACUGACCGUGCAAAGGUAGCAUAAUCAUUAGUCUUUUAAUAGGGGGCUGGAAUGAAAGGUUUAACGAGGAACUGACUGUCUCAUUUUAUUUGUUUUAAAAUUUAAUUUUUUAGUUAAAAAGCUAAAAUUCUAUUGGAAGACGAGAAGACCCUAUAGAUCUUUACAUGAAAUUAUCUAAAUAUUUAUAUAUUAAUAUUUUUAGAUUAUUUUUUGUUUUGUUGGGGUGACAAAAAUAUAUAUUUAACUUUUUUAUAUACAUAACAUUGAUUUAUGAAUAUUAGAUCCAUUAUUAUUGAUUAUUAGACUAAGUUACCUUAGGGAUAACAGCGUAAUCCUCCUCCAGAGUUCGUAUUAACAGGAUGGGCUUGCGACCUCGAUGUUGGAUUAAGAUAAUAAUUAGGUGUAGCAGCUUAAUUUAUAGGUCUGUUCGACCUUUAAAUUCUU